GCGGCGGACGGGUGAGUAACACGUGGGUAACCUGCCUGUAAGACUGGGAUAACUCCGGGAAACCGGGGCUAAUACCGGAUGGUUGUUUGAACCGCAUGGUUCAAACAUAAAAGGUGGCUUCGGCUACCACUUACAGAUGGACCCGCGGCGCAUUAGCUAGUUGGUGAGGUAACGGCUCACCAAGGCAACGAUGCGUAGCCGACCUGAGAGGGUGAUCGGCCACACUGGGACUGAGACACGGCCCAGACUCCUACGGGAGGCAGCAGUAGGGAAUCUUCCGCAAUGGACGAAAGUCUGACGGAGCAACGCCGCGUGAGUGAUGAAGGUUUUCGGAUCGUAAAGCUCUGUUGUUAGGGAAGAACAAGUACCGUUCGAAUAGGGCGGUACCUUGACGGUACCUAACCAGAAAGCCACGGCUAACUACGUGCCAGCAGCCGCGGUAAUACGUAGGUGGCAAGCGUUGUCCGGAAUUAUUGGGCGUAAAGGGCUCGCAGGCGGUUUCUUAAGUCUGAUGUGAAAGCCCCCGGCUCAACCGGGGAGGGUCAUUGGAAACUGGGGAACUUGAGUGCAGAAGAGGAGAGUGGAAUUCCACGUGUAGCGGUGAAAUGCGUAGAGAUGUGGAGGAACACCAGUGGCGAAGGCGACUCUCUGGUCUGUAACUGACGCUGAGGAGCGAAAGCGUGGGGAGCGAACAGGAUUAGAUACCCUGGUAGUCCACGCCGUAAACGAUGAGUGCUAAGUGUU
This 744-nucleotide ribosomal RNA is filed under the name Bacillus subtilis. RNAcentral's name for it is "bacterial SSU rRNA". It matches the Rfam family "Bacterial small subunit ribosomal RNA", at positions 95 to 824 of the family's 1533-position model. The record is from RNAcentral. Lineage: Bacteria; Bacillati; Bacillota; Bacilli; Caryophanales; Bacillaceae.